UUUACUCUCGCGCUUGACCUUAAUCACGAGAAUAUAAAAUAAGACAUUGCCUCGAGGAAAAUUCUUAAUUAAUGAGAAAGCGUAAUUUAACUAUGCAUGAAUCUGUAUGCAUGAACUAAAUUCGACGAUAUCGGGGAUCUACUAUUAUCCUCGUUAAUAGAUUUACUAACUUCUCGUCACGCGUCGAAUAACUGUGAUUCUUCCUUCCAUCGGAAUAUUCUAUGUAAAUAACUCGCAUUUGUACUGAUCAAAUAAAGACUAACUGGCUUUAACGAGGUGUGAUCUACGUAAAAAUUAUCGGGCUUUUCAAAAAUUUUAAUAAAUAAUUGAAAAACAUUUCUCUUGAGUUAAGAACACCAACAAUAUUCUUACUCGUCUUUCUUUAAUAAUUGGAUUUAUAAUUAAAACCAAUUAAAUACUUUUAUUGCAAGUAAAAAUGCAAUUUCAUGUCAUGCUUAGCAUAUAAUAAGUAAUUUACUUAAUAUAUGCACAUAAUAAUAAUACAAUAUUAUUAUUAUGUAAAUCAUCUUUUGAGAAAAAUAAUUAAUUAAACUAAAUAAAUAGUCUAAUUAAUAAGUAUCCAUUUUUCUUUGAACUCAGUCCAAUUAAAUAAUAAGGUAACCCAUUUCUUUUUAAAAAACAUAACCCAAUGUUUCAAUUUAAAUCAGGGCCCAAAGACUUUAAUAAAAUCGGCCCAAAGACUUUAAUAAAAUCGGCCCAUAGCCAAAGCCCAAUACCAUUUAAACACAAGCCCAAUCUUUUAAAAGAUAAAAGCCCAAUUAAAAUAAAUGAAGAGGCCCAAAUUCCAUUUAAAAAUCGGCCCAUCACUUAUUAAAAAUCGGCCCAAGACUCGGCCCAAAAUAAAGAAAUAACCGGCCCAAUGUAAUGGCCCAACAUAAAAAGAAAGCCCAAAUCUUUUAAAUUUUCGGCCCAAACAAUAUAGAUAAAAUUAAGCCCAAACUUAAUAAAGUCAGCCCAUCCUCUCUUUUUUUUCUCAAGCUCUCGGCUUCUCUCUCUCUCAACUCUCAAACGUUUUUUUUUUUUACAGAAUUCAAGGCCGAGAGUCCUCUUCUUCAUCUAACAAAAUUUCGCCGCCGCGUCUGCUGCUUCUGCAAAUCCGGCGAGGUCGCCGCACAAUCGGUCGGCGCAACCCUGUCUGCUUCUCUCUUACGCCUUCACCUCUCGAGUGAAUCCCUCAGAAAUCACACCAACAAGAGCCCUAAUUUCUCCCAUCAUAAAUCGUUGCCGCCGUUGAAAAACUGGGAUCCGGCGACGUCGCUGCUGUCACGCCCUUGUCUGGAGCCAUCGCCGCCGUUUGGAGCGGCUGCUGCUUCGCCUGGAGUCGCCGCCGACUGCUGCUGCUCGUCAGGCCGCCGAGGGCUUCGUCUCCGCUGCUCUGGCCGUCCCAACCGCCGGCGAGCAAUUGUUGAUCGCGCCGCCUCCUUUCCCUUCAUCGCAGAGCCCUAAUCGUCAAACCCAGGUCGCUGCUGCGGCCGCAUCCUCGUCCGAAAUCCGACGGGCUGCUGUCGUCUGGGAGCGGCGCUGCUCCGGCCUCCUCCUCUCCGUCGCGACUCUCGGCUGAACUCGUCUUAAGCCGAGCCCCAAAUGGCUCGGUUCUAAGCAUAAGAGGAAAGUAUCAGUCUCUAUCUUGCUGUAAUUAUCUCCGCUUGGGCAAGAUAGGAUUUUUGGUGGUUUUUCUCAUUGAUUCUCAGUUAGUGAAUUUAUCUAGCAGUAAAAUAUAGUUAUGCUAAGGUUAGCCAUUUAUGCAUAUAGUUUUUUUUUUAUUGGCAUGAACUGGCAUUCUAUGUUUCUCAUAAAAAUGAGUUCAUAUAAUCUGUUGGUUUGCUAGUGAGUUCUAUGUCGAUAAUAUGGUCAUGCUUCUCCUCUCAUACUCAAAAUCCAAUCGAGCUCUCUCUCCAAUCCAUUCACUUAUCUAGUUUCUGUGAGUUCUUGUGAUUGUUACUCUGGAGUGUAGUGGAAGUGAAGCAUAUAAAUCCUUCUGUUGUAAAGUAUCUCCCUAUUGUACAACAUAUCUUGACUAUUUCGUGUAGAUGAACUGUGAUUAUGCUAAAUAUGGAUGCGAACUGAAUCGAAUACUCUAUUGUUUAACUGAUCAUGCUUGCUGGAUGAUGCGAAAUGGAUCGAAUAAGUUGAGCUUAGUAUAUACCUUGUAAUUGUUUGGUAUUUGGCUGUUGUGUUGAUCUCAGCAUGAGAAGAACUGAAAUAAAGAUGGUUCUUUUAACAAUGCAGGAGGAAACAAGAACAAUAUGAUGAAAACUUAAGCCAAACUUACCUCUUCGAAGUUUCAUAGAAGUUUUACAAACUCUAUCUCUUCCCUUCAAAUUUUCUGGUUUCUGGUGUCCAAGGAAAUGAGUGAAGGAAGUUUGUUGGCUGAAAUGUUAAAGGACAUCGGAGGGAGUAGGUGGGUGUGGGAGUGUAGUGGUGGAGUGGAGUUGGUGGAGUGGAGUUGGUGGAGAGCAAAGACGUUAGCAAAAGAUAGAAAUAAUAACUUUAUCUAAACUUUAAUUGAUUGAAGAGCUUUUGCUUUUGCUAAUUGAUUUGGUUGUCUUCUUGAUUGAUUCUGUAUAUUUAAUCGCGUGUUUGCAAUCAAAUACUGGCUUCUGCUCAUUAUUCGUGUAUAAUUUAAAUACGUAGAUUUAAUUCACUUCACAAGCCAUUUAAUAUCUAGAUUAAAUCCGUAGAUUUAAUCUGCGUUGCAGUCGGAAUAAUUUCUCGACUUCAAGUAGCACUAA
RNAcentral lists this long non-coding RNA (2753 nucleotides) under Salvia miltiorrhiza (redroot sage). RNAcentral describes it as "long non-coding RNA (SMIL_LNC001030)". The record is from RNAcentral. Lineage: Eukaryota; Viridiplantae; Streptophyta; Magnoliopsida; Lamiales; Lamiaceae.